UUUAGUUUGUAAUACGCUUACAUUCUUGACUGAUUGAAUCCCAAUAUUGUAUAUUUAAGACAUCAUUUAAUAAAAUAUAUUUGCCAUGUCAAAAUUGCGGGUGUAUAGAUUAGAUGAUAAUAUUCAACUUUGGCACAUAUUUUGUGUCGCGAAAGACAUGGGAGGAAAGUUUAACAUGCAAAACGGUAAAGUAAAAUGGUUCAACAAUGAAAAAGGUUUCGGAUUCAUCGAAGUAGAAGGCGGAGACGAUGUAUUCGUUCACUUCUCAGCUAUCCAGGGCGACGGCUACAAGUCACUAGAAGAAGGUCAAGAAGUUUCUUUUGAAAUCGUUGAAGGAAACCGUGGACCACAAGCUGCUAACGUAGUAAAACUAUAAUUAAAAAAGUUGAAGGCUGGCGCCAGGCGCCAGCCUUUUU
This 416-nucleotide small RNA is filed under the name Mesobacillus selenatarsenatis SF-1. Its description in RNAcentral is "Bacillus selenatarsenatis SF-1 cspA thermoregulator". It matches the Rfam family "cspA thermoregulator". The record is from Rfam by way of RNAcentral. Lineage: Bacteria; Bacillati; Bacillota; Bacilli; Caryophanales; Bacillaceae.